GAUGAAGAACGUAGCGAAAUGCGAUAAGUAGUGUGAAUUGCAGAAUUCAGUGAAUCAUCGAAUCUUUGAACGCACAUUGCGCCCCUUGGUAUCCCGAGGGGCAUGCCUGUUCGAGCGUCAUUUCACCACUCAAGCCUGGCUUGGUGUUGGGCGACGUCCCCUUUGGGGACGCGCCUCGAAACGCUCGGCGGCGUGGCACCGGCUUUAAGCGUAGCAGAAUCUUUCGCUUUGGAAGUCGGGGCCCCGUCUGCCGGAAGACCUACUCGCAAGGUUGACCUCAGAUCAGGCAGGGAUACCCGCUGAACUUAAGCAUAUCAAUAAGCGGAGGA
Molecule: unclassified non-coding RNA, 329 nt
Filed under: soil metagenome
Description: partial contains 5.8S ribosomal RNA, internal transcribed spacer 2, and large subunit ribosomal RNA
Rfam family: 5.8S ribosomal RNA (bases 1-120)
Source: RNAcentral